AGUCUAAAAAAUUUAGCCUAUUACUCAUAGAAUACUCUGGUGCCUUCUCUCUUCCAUUUGCUUCUCCAGAUGCAUUCUCCACCCUUCUUCAACUACUCUGUGGCCCUGGUAGCUGAUCUACAUGAACUACAUCAGUAGAAUCUGGUGGGAAAAGGAAGGAAGGAGAAUGAAGUCAGGGAACUUAUUCCCCCAUUCUCCUCCUUGCUACUAAAAGUCGUGCAUUUUAUCUGCCAUCUCUCUCAACAAGACUCUGUCCUUUUGGGGUUUGUUGAAAUAGAGUCUACUAAGUCACUGAAUUCUGGAAAGCACAUACUAUCCAGCAGAACUUGGGGAAAAAAUGGAAAAUAAAGUCUGCAGGCAGUGUUGACAUUAUCGCUACCACAUGAGCACUGACAAGAGAUCAAUUAAGGAGAAAGAAGAAUGUUAAUCCAAGAUGGAGUUGGCCCACCCUAAUUGAAGAAUGGUGAACAAGACUCUGGUCAAUGAAUUAUAACAUUUUAAAAUUCAUUCAUCCAUUUGAUAAUUAAUUCUGAUGGCAUCUUAAAUAAUCAUCAGAAGCUUUCCUCGCAAAGUACAUGAAGGAGCGAAUCUGGUUUCAAGCAGGGGUCAGUGGUCUGCAUCUGGGUGGAUGGCAGUGGAUGUGAUGACCUUGUAUGCUUCUGUCUCCUGAGCCAGCAACUGAACCUAAGUUCUGAAUGUAUUGGAAGGUAUUGAUCACUAUCAAGUUUAUUGUUUUAUUUUUAUAGUAAUAGUCAUAUCAGUUAUUGCUAUCCCACUAAGGAAGUCUAACUAUUUCAUAGAAAUAAAACACCACAUAAUAAGAUAUUAAAUCAUAUGAAGCAAAACUGACUUUUGACUAUAUCAUCACCCUAAGGGCAGUGGAUGGUAAUUUCUCCUUCUGAUUCUAUAGGUAGCUAAUUUAUUAUUUUCUCAUGUACUUUUAUAGGGCC
Long non-coding RNA from Camelus dromedarius (Arabian camel), 950 nucleotides. RefSeq lists it as uncharacterized. Lineage: Eukaryota; Metazoa; Chordata; Mammalia; Artiodactyla; Camelidae. The record is from RefSeq and is a predicted model, not a curated record. The transcript is spliced from 5 exons.